GGAAGGAAAGAUCAUCUGCAGUACGCGGGUAGGGUCAUAGUGUUCUCUGUUGCUGUAGAAAGAUAAUGAGCAAGCCCAGACUCAUAGGUUAGGGCGUGAGGGAAGGAAUGAACAAAAUGUGCUCCGUUCUGAAGGACACUUUCUCCUUUCCCAUAGUGAUAGUAAUGACCUCCUUUCCCAUAGUGAUAGUAAUGACCUCUUAAGAUAGAAUGACUGAGUAUAAAAGGUAAGGUAAGGAAAUCCCAUCUCCUCUGUAUUCCAAUUGAAAAGCAGGUCUUAAGCCAGCAUUGAGUUCCUCCGGACUAAAGGAUUACUGUAGCUUUCUUUACAUUCUCGUAAGCACAACCAAACUAUUCCCAUUCCUUAAGCUCGCUAGCAUACCGUCUUUCUAGCUUGAAUAGUGAAAAACGAGCAUCUAUCUUUGUAAAGAGAAAGGCUCCUCCUGAUCUUGGGAAGAAGAA
This 461-nucleotide long non-coding RNA is filed under the name Musa acuminata (dwarf banana). RNAcentral describes it as "long non-coding RNA (MACU_LNC007850)". Lineage: Eukaryota; Viridiplantae; Streptophyta; Magnoliopsida; Zingiberales; Musaceae. The record is from RNAcentral.